AAAAAUUGAUAGAUUUCUGAAUAUUCUGUCAAAGGAACUUGUAAGUGUGCCUUUUAUAUAUCGACAUAGAUAUAUUCUCCUCCAUGGAUAUGAACUGAUGAAAGUAAUAUUGUACAAACCAGACGAAGUUUGUCAGCAGCCAUGAACAUGAAAUUCGUUUUAUAGAGAACAUGGCCAUCAGAGGUGCUACCAGAUGUAUAUAACUGGAAAGACCCUGUAUGACAGAGUAAGGAACAUGGCAUACUUGUAGAAUAGCUAACCAUGCAGGAAAACGAUGUAAAAGAAUUGCUAAAUUGGGCGUAGGCCAUAAAUAAUAAGGUUCUGGUUACAAUUUGGAUAUCAACAUGUUAAGGUUGAUAUUCAUUUGGUCUCAUAUGAUUGCAUGACAUGCAGUUAGUUCUCUACUGCAAUGUAACAACUAUUUGUUUGUGCCCUCAACAUGACUUAUAUAAGAGGUGUGAAUUUAAAUAGAUAGUUGCUUCUUUCUAAUCAUAGUUAUUGGAAUAUAAUGCAGCUUCCAUUGCAGCUCAGGGCAUGUUCAUGGUUGGAACAAGAAGCCUGUCCAUUACAACUCAUCGAUCGAUGCGAAAACACAGGACAAGUCGGGUAUUCAGUUACUAAUUGUGGCUAGGACGCCCAAUUUUUCUGGGCAUUUUAUUUCCUCACAGUAUCCUUCUUCCGCUAGUAGUUGGUUAUAUGAGCUUUGGGAUGUGCUUUUUCUUGGCUGACAUACAGGGUCUGCUGACUGAUGUGGCGUAGCUAUCAUUUGCUGACUGAUGUGUAGUCUGCAAAUUUCUUCAAAUGGUCUAGUGUUCUUCAAAUAAUGAAUAAGAUAUGAAUCACAUGUGUCGGACAGAUGUGGUUUCCUCAAGUGGUUUGAGAAUACAAGUUGGUACUCGCGGCAAAGGAGCAACAACUGAGUGUAGGUGCCCCUGUUGCAACUGGAUUGCAAUUUGCAGAAGCUAAUCGCAAUGGUGUUCCCAAUUUUAUUGAUGGCUCAGGUUUCCAGAGGAUGACCAUUUUCUGUGAUGGAAGAAAGAUGGACAAAUUAAUUAAUUUGGUUCAGGCUCCAGUGGUGAUCAGCAUUGUCAUUGUAGUUGUAGUGUUUUUUCGUGUAUUAGUGCUGCGAGCUGUGGAUGUAACAGGAAUGCAGGUUCUAGAUUUUAACAAUGUAAUAUCUGGUUCUGAAUGUAAUUGUGACUCUCUUUCAAUGAAAAUGCUGUUAUCUGAAA
Long non-coding RNA from Panicum virgatum (switchgrass), 1232 nucleotides. RefSeq lists it as uncharacterized. The transcript has 2 exons. The record is from RefSeq and is a predicted model, not a curated record. NCBI's taxonomy places the organism in Eukaryota, Viridiplantae, Streptophyta, Magnoliopsida, Poales, Poaceae.